GAAUGGCCGAGUGGCUAGCGCUCUCUACCAAAGGUUUCGGGUUCGAGUCCCGAUGGCGCCA
This 61-nucleotide transfer RNA is filed under the name Caerostris darwini. RNAcentral describes it as "tRNA-Ser". The record is from RNAcentral. Lineage: Eukaryota; Metazoa; Arthropoda; Arachnida; Araneae; Araneidae.